UUAAGCGACUAAGCGUACACGGUGGAUGCCCUGGCAGUCAGAGGCGAUGAAGGACGUGCUAAUCUGCGAAAAGCGUCGGUAAGGUGAUAUGAACCGUUAUAACCGGCGAUGUCCGAAUGGGGAAACCCAGUGCAAUUCGUUGCACUAUCGUUAACUGAAUACAUAGGUUAACGAGGCGAACCGGGGGAACUGAAACAUCUAAGUACCCCGAGGAAAAGAAAUCAACCGAGAUUCCCCCAGUAGCGGCGAGCGAACGGGGAGCAGCCCAGAGUCUGAAUCAGCUUGUGUGUUAGUGGAACGGUCUGGAAAGUCCGACGGUACAGGGUGAUAGUCCCGUACACCAAAAUGCACAGGUUGUGAACUCGAAGAGUAGGGCGGGACACGUGGUAUCCUGUCUGAAUAUGGGGGGACCAUCCUCCAAGGCUAAAUACUCCUGACUGACCGAUAGUGAACCAGUACCGUGAGGGAAAGGCGAAAAGAACCCCGGCGAGGGGAGUGAAAAAGAACCUGAAACCGUGUACGUACAAGCAGUGGGAGCACCUUUAUGGUGUGACUGCGUACCUUUUGUAUAAUGGGUCAGCGACUUAUAUUCUGUAGCAAGGUUAACCGUAUAGGGGAGCCGCAGGGAAACCGAGUCUUAACUGGGCGUUAAGUUGCAGGGUAUAGACCCGAAACCCGGUGAUCUAGCCAUGGGCAGGUUGAAGGUUGGGUAACACUAACUGGAGGACCGAACCGACUAAUGUUGAAAAAUUAGCGGAUGACUUGUGGCUGGGGGUGAAAGGCCAAUCAAACCGGGAGAUAGCUGGUUCUCCCCGAAAGCUAUUUAGGUAGCGCCUCGUGAACUCAUCUUCGGGGGUAGAGCACUGUUUCGGCUAGGGGGUCAUCCCGACUUACCAACCCGAUGCAAACUACGAAUACCGAAGAAUGUUAUCACGGGAGACACACGGCGGGUGCUAACGUCCGUCGUGAAGAGGGAAACAACCCAGACCGCCAGCUAAGGUCCCAAAGUCAUGGUUAAGUGGGAAACGAUGUGGGAAGGCACAGACAGCCAGGAUGUUGGCUUAGAAGCAGCCAUCAUUUAAAGAAAGCGUAAUAGCUCACUGGUCGAGUCGGCCUGCGCGGAAGAUGUAACGGGGCUAAACCAUGCACCGAAGCUGCGGCAGCGACGCUUAUGCGUUGUUGGGUAGGGGAGCGUUCUGUAAGCCUGCGAAGGUGGCCUGUGAGGGCUGCUGGAGGUAUCAGAAGUGCGAAUGCUGACAUAAGUAACGAUAAAGCGGGUGAAAAGCCCGCUCGCCGGAAGACCAAGGGUUCCUGUCCAACGUUAAUCGGGGCAGGGUGAGUCGACCCCUAAGGCGAGGCCGAAAGGCGUAGUCGAUGGGAAACAGGUUAAUAUUCCUGUACUUGGUGUUACUGCGAAGGGGGGACGGAGAAGGCUAUGUUAGCCGGGCGACGGUUGUCCCGGUUUAAGCAUGUAGGCGGAGGUUCCAGGUAAAUCCGGUACCUUUUAACGCUGAGGUGUGAUGACGAGGCACUACGGUGCUGAAGUAACAAAUGCCCUGCUUCCAGGAAAAGCCUCUAAGCAUCAGGUAACAUUAAAUCGUACCCCAAACCGACACAGGUGGUCAGGUAGAGAAUACCAAGGCGCUUGAGAGAACUCGGGUGAAGGAACUAGGCAAAAUGGUGCCGUAACUUCGGGAGAAGGCACGCUGGUGUGUAGGUGAAGUCCCUGCGGACGGAGCUGAGACCAGUCGAAGAUACCAGCUGGCUGCAACUGUUUAUUAAAAACACAGCACUGUGCAAACACGAAAGUGGACGUAUACGGUGUGACGCCUGCCCGGUGCCGGAAGGUUAAUUGAUGGGGUUAUCCGUAAGGAGAAGCUCUUGAUCGAAGCCCCGGUAAACGGCGGCCGUAACUAUAACGGUCCUAAGGUAGCGAAAUUCCUUGUCGGGUAAGUUCCGACCUGCACGAAUGGCGUAAUGAUGGCCAGGCUGUCUCCACCCGAGACUCAGUGAAAUUGAACUCGCUGUGAAGAUGCAGUGUACCCGCGGCAAGACGGAAAGACCCCGUGAACCUUUACUAUAGCUUGACACUGAACAUUGAGCCUUGAUGUGUAGGAUAGGUGGGAGGCUUUGAAGCGUGGACGCCAGUCUGCGUGGAGCCAACCUUGAAAUACCACCCUUUAAUGUUUGAUGUUCUAACGUUGGCCCCUAAUCGGGGUUGCGGACAGUGUCUGGUGGGUAGUUUGACUGGGGCGGUCUCCUCCCAAAGAGUAACGGAGGAGCACGAAGGUUAGCUAAUCCUGGUCGGACAUCAGGAGGUUAGUGCAAUGGCAUAAGCUAGCUUGACUGCGAGCGUGACGGCGCGAGCAGGUGCGAAAGCAGGUCAUAGUGAUCCGGUGGUUCUGAAUGGAAGGGCCAUCGCUCAACGGAUAAAAGGUACUCCGGGGAUAACAGGCUGAUACCGCCCAAGAGUUCAUAUCGACGGCGGUGUUUGGCACCUCGAUGUCGGCUCAUCACAUCCUGGGGCUGAAGUAGGUCCCAAGGGUAUGGCUGUUCGCCAUUUAAAGUGGUACGCGAGCUGGGUUUAGAACGUCGUGAGACAGUUCGGUCCCUAUCUGCCGUGGGCGCUGGAGAAUUGAGGGGGGCUGCUCCUAGUACGAGAGGACCGGAGUGGACGCAUCACUGGUGUUCGGGUUGUCAUGCCAAUGGCACUGCCCGGUAGCUAAAUGCGGAAGAGAUAAGUGCUGAAAGCAUCUAAGCACGAAACUUGCCCCGAGAUGAGUUCUCCCUGAGACUAUAAGUCUCCUGAAGGAACGUUGAAGACGACGACGUUGAUAGGCCGGGUGUGUAAGCGCAGCGAUGCGUUGAGCUAACCGGUACUAAUGAACCGUGAGGCUUAACCUU
RNAcentral lists this ribosomal RNA (2904 nucleotides) under Klebsiella variicola. RNAcentral describes it as "bacterial LSU rRNA". It matches the Rfam family "Bacterial large subunit ribosomal RNA". Lineage: Bacteria; Pseudomonadati; Pseudomonadota; Gammaproteobacteria; Enterobacterales; Enterobacteriaceae. The record is from RNAcentral.